Molecule: ribosomal RNA, 390 nt
Filed under: uncultured Glomeromycotina
Lineage: Eukaryota; Fungi; Glomeromycota
Description: SSU rRNA
Rfam family: Eukaryotic small subunit ribosomal RNA
Source: RNAcentral
GACGAACCAAGAUGUCAUUAAUUUGGUGUCUUGGGGAAUCAGGACCGUUACUUUGAAAAAAUUAGAGUCGUUUAAAGCAGGCUCGCGCUUGAAUACAUUAGCAUGGAAUAAUGAAAUAGGACGUUUGAUUCUAUUUUGUUGGUUUCUAGGAUCGACGUAAUGAUUAAUAGGGAUAGUUGGGGGCAUUAGUAUUCAAUUGUCAGAGGUGAAAUUCUUGGAUUUAUUGAAGACUAACUACUGCGAAAGCAUUUGCCAAGGAUGUUUUCAUUAAUCAAGAACGAAAGUUAGGGGAUCGAAGACGAUCAGAUACCGUCGUAGUCUUAACCAUAAACUAUGCCGACUAGGGAUCGGAUGAUGUUAAUUUUUUAAUGACUCAUUCGGCGCCUUACG